AAAUUGAAGAGUUUGAUCAUGGCUCAGAUUGAACGCUGGCGGCAGGCCUAACACAUGCAAGUCGAACGGUAACAGGAAGCAGCUUGCUGCUUCGCUGACGAGUGGCGGACGGGUGAGUAAUGUCUGGGAAACUGCCUGAUGGA
Molecule: ribosomal RNA, 143 nt
Filed under: Escherichia coli
Lineage: Bacteria; Pseudomonadati; Pseudomonadota; Gammaproteobacteria; Enterobacterales; Enterobacteriaceae
Also listed under: 4 other names
Description: partial 16S ribosomal RNA
Rfam family: Bacterial small subunit ribosomal RNA
Source: RNAcentral